UGUGUAGGCGGGCUUGCAAGUUGGAUGCGUAAUACCCAGAGCUUAACUCGGGUGCUGCAUCUGAAACUACUUUUCUUGAGUGCAGGAGAGGAAAGCGGAAUUCCUAGUGUAGCGGUGAAAUGCGUAGAUAUUAGGAGGAACACCAGUGGCGAAGGCGGCUUUCUGGACUGUAACUGACACUGAGGCUCGAAAGCCAGGGGAGGCGAAC
Molecule: ribosomal RNA, 208 nt
Filed under: uncultured bacterium
Lineage: Bacteria
Description: partial 16S ribosomal RNA
Rfam family: Bacterial small subunit ribosomal RNA
Source: RNAcentral